Oryza sativa Japonica Group (Japanese rice) is the source of this 2527-nucleotide non-coding RNA. The record is from RefSeq and is a predicted model, not a curated record. NCBI's taxonomy places the organism in Eukaryota, Viridiplantae, Streptophyta, Magnoliopsida, Poales, Poaceae.
CCACCCCCCCCCCCCCCCCCAAUUCGCCUCCUGAAUCCUUCUUCCCCCGCCCGGUUUCAUCCUGAUCGGUGCCCGUUUCAUGCUGUUCCGUGCGCGGAUUAGGGUUCUUGUGCUAGGAUCUUUGGGGGGUGGGCUGGUGUUGCUUGAUGGGUUUGUUCUUUCGUGUGUGUGAUCUGCCGUGGAAGGAAAGAGGAACAGAUUCUUCUCCUGAAGAAACCUUUACCAUUUCUGUCUGUGGGAUUGGCCCAUGGGAGAGGGGGGGUGUAGAAUAGUUAUUCUAGGGGAUAUAUAUUUGUAUGUAUAAAUACAUAUAUGUAUUACACACAUAUAAAUUAAAGCACUUAACAAUUUAUGUGCAUAUAUUACCAAAAUAUAUAUUUACACUAAACUAAAUGUGUACAUAUAUAAAUAUAUACAUAUAUUUACAAUUCCUUCGGACCCUAAAUAUAAUGUUUCUAUCAUAUGCUCGCUAGCUACGACUUCGACGCCGGUGUUAUCUCAGAAGAAGAAGGACCGACGGUAUGAAUUGUCGAUCCGUCGUAGUAGAAUUCACCCUCGGGAUCAAGGAUUUGUUCGUUGAUGAAUCCCAUCAGUUGUUCUUGAACAGCCGUGAUAAAAUCCACUUCAUCUUCUUCCAUUUGAACCCCUAGCUCUUCGUGCAAUGCCCAACACUUAUAGCUAGGCAUGAACCCCGACUCAAACAAGUGGAAAUGAAAACUUCUUAAUGCAGAAUACUCCUUCUGGUUUUUGCACUUAUUGCAUGGACAACAGAUAAAACCCUUAUGCUUGUUAGCAUCGGCCACUCUCAAAAAAUAAUGCACGCCAUCAAUAAACUCUUUCGACCGUCCUGUGCUGAAAUAUAUCUUACUUGUAUGGGAGCUAUGGAGUUCAAUUAUAUCUGCUCUAGUCAAUGUGAGAAAUACAAAACCUGUCGUAUUAAACAUUUUUGAAUGACUCCUAAUAGAAGAUAAAUGUGUAUGGAGUUCGACAGGUUUUCUAGUAAAAGAUUCAUAUGCUAGCACCGGACAGAUAUAUCCAUGAACCCAUGUCGACCAAUGGGGUUCCACCACGCGCCUAUAUAUAAUUGAGGUCUUCUUUCCCUUUGCCUCAACUCCACGCGAAGGGAAAAAGUCUUCCUCCUCACGAAUCCCACCUCAAUCUCCAUUUGCGCCGAUCCCUCGAGAGGCAGCUCCGAUGGCGCCCAAGGCAGAGAAGAAGCCGGUGGAGAAGAAGCCCAAGGCGGAGAAGCGGCUGUCGGAGUCGAAGGCGUCGUCCAAGGAGGGCGGCGCCGGCGACAAGAAGGGGAGGAAGAAGGCGAAGAAGAGCGUCGAGAUCUACAUCUUCAAGGUCCUGAAGCAGGUGCACCCGGACAUCGGCAUCUCCUCCAAGGCCAUGUCGAUCAUGAACUCCUUCAUCAACGACAUCUUCGAGAAGCUCGCGCAGGAGGCCGCCCACCUCGCCCGCUACAACAAGAAGCCCAUCGCCACCUCCCGCGAGAUCUAGACCUCCGUCCGCCUCGUCCUCCCCGGCGAGCUCGCCAAGCACGCCGUCUCCGAGGGCACCAAGGCCGUCACCAAGUUCACCAGCAACUAGCCUUAUCUCUCUAGGGUUUCGCCGCCAUAUGCUUCUCUCCUUCCCUUUCCCCUCUCGUUUGCUAGGUGGCAGUAGUUGCAAGCUUGUGUUUGCUUUGUAAAUUGUGCUUGAUCAUAAUGGACAGCUUGGAUUUGAUGUAAUAGACGUGGAGUGUUAUUUACUGUCGGUGGCUGAUUCGCAUCUCGUGUUUUUUUCUCUCUUAUGCGAUUGCAAUUUGGGGAUCUAGGGUUUGAGGCGGGGGGCUCUGUACUUCUGGAGAUGAUGCUGCGAGGUGGGCGGCUGGCUGGCUUGGCCUCUCGGAUGGUUGGAGCCAAGCCUUUCAGCACGGAGAUAUUUGUGAGCAUUUCGCUUGUCAUGAUCUGUCCGUCAGAACUUCAUGAGUGAUGAUCUGGUGUGAUUCUGGGGGGUGUGGUGGAUGAAAUGAGCACUAAAUGGGCUAUCAUUUUACACAACAGAGGAAGAACUUAAAAAUGUCUUCUCACCAUUUGGCGCUGUUGAGGAAGCUCGAUUGGUGAGAGACAACCAAACUGGAAGGCCAAAGGGAUUUGGUUUUGUUAAAUAUUCUUCUCAAGCAGACGCAGAGAAAGCUGUUAAGGCAAUGGAUGGACGGAUCAUACGUGGAAGACUAAUUUUUGUGGAAAUUGCAAAAGAAUAAAACUGCAUAGGGCAUAGUCUAUCACCAUCGUUGCUGAACUGGAGCAGUUUUCCUGCCUUAAAGCGUACUCGUACAUGACUACAUGGCUAAUCUGGCUUAGUUCCAACAAGACCUAUGAGCACUUCUCCCGGCCUGAAUGCGUACUUUUGUGACUUCUGUUGAGCCAAGUAUUGGUUUGCGAACAACAUUGUUUGUUUUUUAAAGACAAAGAAAGCUUUCAAACAGGAAAAUUGUUGUUGGAAGGUUAAGUUGAAUUUAUGAACCCGAGCUGGAAGGUUA